GAAUAAAAUAUAAGUAGUUUGUUGGAUAAUCUAUAAACCAGUUGGCAUGCUAAUAAAUCCAAGUAUUGGAGAUAUAUCACUAAUUGUCUGCAAAUACAGAGCCAUAUGAAACUAGGAAUGAUUUUGAUCCCAUUUUGGUAACAGGAAUAAGAGAAUGGUCUGGUAUUUCUAAUACCUAACCUCCAUGUGAGUGAAAAUUAUGUAAUGAAGGCCUCAUCAUUCUUGUCUUGUCUUUCUCCUUCCCAUUCCUGGUAACCAAUGGAACAUACAAUGAGAGUUCUUGUACAUUGGAUGUUUGAUGAUUGUGUCGACAUGCUUUU
RNAcentral lists this unclassified non-coding RNA (320 nucleotides) under Hevea brasiliensis (rubber tree). Lineage: Eukaryota; Viridiplantae; Streptophyta; Magnoliopsida; Malpighiales; Euphorbiaceae. The record is from RNAcentral.